This 253-nucleotide ribosomal RNA is filed under the name uncultured bacterium. RNAcentral's name for it is "partial 16S ribosomal RNA". It matches the Rfam family "Bacterial small subunit ribosomal RNA", at positions 524 to 776 of the family's 1533-position model. The record is from RNAcentral.
UACGUAGGGGGCAAGCGUUGUCCGGAAUCAUUGGGCGUAAAGAGCGUGUAGGCGGUCCGGUAAGUCGGCUGUGAAGGUCCAGGGCUCAACCCUGGGAUGCCGGUCGAUACUGCCGGACUAGAGUUCGGAAGAGGCGAGUGGAAUUCCCGGUGUAGCGGUGAAAUGCGCAGAUAUCAGGAGGAACACCGGUGGCGAAGGCGGAUCUCUGGGCCUUACCUGACGCUGAGGCGCGAAAGCUAGGGGAGCGAACAGG